RNAcentral lists this ribosomal RNA (2787 nucleotides) under Vibrio paracholerae VCC19. RNAcentral's name for it is "bacterial LSU rRNA". It matches the Rfam family "Bacterial large subunit ribosomal RNA". The record is from RNAcentral. Lineage: Bacteria; Pseudomonadati; Pseudomonadota; Gammaproteobacteria; Vibrionales; Vibrionaceae.
AGCGUACACGGUGGAUGCCUAGGCAGUCAGAGGCGAUGAAGGACGUACUAACUUGCGAUAAGCGCAGAUAAGGCAGUAAGAGCCGUUUGAGUCUGCGAUUUCCGAAUGGGGAAACCCAACUGCACAAGCAGUUACUGUUAACUGAAUACAUAGGUUAACAGAGCAAACCGGGGGGAACUGAAACAUCUAAGUACCCCGAGGAGAAGAAAUCAACCGAGAUUCCGGUAGUAGCGGCGAGCGAACCUGGAUUAGCCCUUAAGCACUCGUUGAAGUAGGUGAACAAGCUGGAAAGCUUGGCGAUACAGGGUGAUAGCCCCGUAACCGACGCUUCAUCGAGCGUGAAAUCGAGUAGGGCGGGACACGUGAUAUCCUGUCUGAAUAUGGGGGGACCAUCCUCCAAGGCUAAAUACUCCUGACUGACCGAUAGUGAACCAGUACCGUGAGGGAAAGGCGAAAAGAACCCCUGUGAGGGGAGUGAAAUAGAACCUGAAACCGUGUACGUACAAGCAGUAGGAGCACCUUCGUGGUGUGACUGCGUACCUUUUGUAUAAUGGGUCAGCGACUUAUAUUCAGUGGCAAGGUUAACCGUAUAGGGGAGCCGUAGCGAAAGCGAGUCUUAACUGGGCGCUCAGUCUCUGGAUAUAGACCCGAAACCGGGUGAUCUAGCCAUGGGCAGGUUGAAGGUUGAGUAACAUCAACUGGAGGACCGAACCGACUAAUGUUGAAAAAUUAGCGGAUGACUUGUGGCUAGGGGUGAAAGGCCAAUCAAACUCGGAGAUAGCUGGUUCUCCCCGAAAGCUAUUUAGGUAGCGCCUCGGACGAAUACUACUGGGGGUAGAGCACUGUUAAGGCUAGGGGGUCAUCCCGACUUACCAACCUUUGCAAACUCCGAAUACCAGUAAGUACUAUCCGGGAGACACACGGCGGGUGCUAACGUCCGUCGUGGAGAGGGAAACAACCCAGACCGCCAGCUAAGGUCCCAAAGUAUUGCUAAGUGGGAAACGAUGUGGGAAGGCUCAGACAGCUAGGAUGUUGGCUUAGAAGCAGCCAUCAUUUAAAGAAAGCGUAAUAGCUCACUAGUCGAGUCGGCCUGCGCGGAAGAUGUAACGGGGCUAAGCAAUACACCGAAGCUGCGGCAAUGCCUUUUAGGUAUUGGGUAGGGGAGCGUUCUGUAAGCCGUUGAAGGUGAAUCGUAAGGUUUGCUGGAGGUAUCAGAAGUGCGAAUGCUGACAUGAGUAACGACAAAGGGGGUGAAAAACCUCCUCGCCGGAAGACCAAGGGUUCCUGUCCAACGUUAAUCGGGGCAGGGUGAGUCGACCCCUAAGGUGAGGCCGAAAGGCGUAAUCGAUGGGAAACGGGUUAAUAUUCCCGUACUUCUGACUAUUGCGAUGGGGGGACGGAGAAGGCUAGGUGGGCCAGGCGACGGUUGUCCUGGUUCAAGUGCGUAGGCUUAAGAGUUAGGUAAAUCCGGCUCUUUCUAAGGCUGAGACACGACGUCGAGCUGCUACGGCAGUGAAGUCAUUGAUGCCAUGCUUCCAGGAAAAGCCUCUAAGCUUCAGAUAGUCAGGAAUCGUACCCCAAACCGACACAGGUGGUCGGGUAGAGAAUACCAAGGCGCUUGAGAGAACUCGGGUGAAGGAACUAGGCAAAAUGGUACCGUAACUUCGGGAGAAGGUACGCUCUUGAUGGUGAAGUCCCUUGCGGAUGGAGCUGACGAGAGUCGCAGAUACCAGGUGGCUGCAACUGUUUAUUAAAAAACACAGCACUGUGCAAAAUCGCAAGAUGACGUAUACGGUGUGACGCCUGCCCGGUGCCGGAAGGUUAAUUGAUGGGGUUAGCGCAAGCGAAGCUCUUGAUCGAAGCCCCGGUAAACGGCGGCCGUAACUAUAACGGUCCUAAGGUAGCGAAAUUCCUUGUCGGGUAAGUUCCGACCUGCACGAAUGGCGUAAUGAUGGCCACGCUGUCUCCACCCGAGACUCAGUGAAAUUGAAAUCGCUGUGAAGAUGCAGUGUACCCGCGGCUAGACGGAAAGACCCCGUGAACCUUUACUACAGCUUGGCACUGAACAUUGAACCUACAUGUGUAGGAUAGGUGGGAGGCUAUGAAGACGUGACGCUAGUUGCGUUGGAGCCGUCCUUGAAAUACCACCCUUGUAUGUUUGAUGUUCUAACUUAGACCCGUUAUCCGGGUUGAGGACAGUGCCUGGUGGGUAGUUUGACUGGGGCGGUCUCCUCCCAAAGAGUAACGGAGGAGCACGAAGGUGGGCUAAUCACGGUUGGACAUCGUGAGGUUAGUGCAAUGGCAUAAGCCCGCUUAACUGCGAGAAUGACGGUUCGAGCAGGUGCGAAAGCAGGUCAUAGUGAUCCGGUGGUUCUGUAUGGAAGGGCCAUCGCUCAACGGAUAAAAGGUACUCCGGGGAUAACAGGCUGAUACCGCCCAAGAGUUCAUAUCGACGGCGGUGUUUGGCACCUCGAUGUCGGCUCAUCACAUCCUGGGGCUGAAGUCGGUCCCAAGGGUAUGGCUGUUCGCCAUUUAAAGUGGUACGCGAGCUGGGUUUAGAACGUCGUGAGACAGUUCGGUCCCUAUCUGCCGUGGGCGUGGAAGAUUGAAGGGGGCUGCUCCUAGUACGAGAGGACCGGAGUGGACGAACCUCUGGUGUUCGGGUUGUGUCGCCAGACGCAUUGCCCGGUAGCUAAGUUCGGAAUUGAUAAGCGCUGAAAGCAUCUAAGCGCGAAGCGAGCCCUGAGAUGAGUCUUCCCUGAUACUUUAAGUAUCCUAAAGGGUUGU